UGGGGAAUAUUGGACAAUGGGCGAAAGCCUGAUCCAGCCAUGCCGCGUGUGUGAAGAAGGUCUUCGGAUUGUAAAGCACUUUAAGUUGGGAGGAAGGGCAGUAAGCGAAUACCUUGCUGUUUUUACGUUACUGACAGAAUAAGCACCGGCUAACUCUGUGCCAGCAGCCGCGGUAAUACAGAGGGUGCAAGCGUUAAUCGGAAUUACUGGGCGUAAAGCGCGCGUAGGUGGUUCGUUAAGUCGAUUGUGAAAGCCCCGGGCUCAACCUGGGAACUGCAGCCAAAACAGGCGGGCUAAAGUAGGGGAGAGGGGGGUGGAAUUAACUGUGUAGCGGUGAAAUGCGUAGAUAUAGAAAGGAACACCAGUGGCGAAGGCGACCACCUGAGCUCAUACUGACACUGAGGUGCGAAAGCGUGGGGAGCAAACAGG
This 429-nucleotide ribosomal RNA is filed under the name Pseudomonadota bacterium. RNAcentral's name for it is "Proteobacteria bacterium partial 16S ribosomal RNA". It matches the Rfam family "Bacterial small subunit ribosomal RNA", at positions 355 to 776 of the family's 1533-position model. The record is from RNAcentral. Lineage: Bacteria; Pseudomonadati; Pseudomonadota.